Solanum stenotomum is the source of this 638-nucleotide long non-coding RNA. RefSeq lists it as uncharacterized. The transcript is spliced from 4 exons. The record is from RefSeq and is a predicted model, not a curated record. Lineage: Eukaryota; Viridiplantae; Streptophyta; Magnoliopsida; Solanales; Solanaceae.
AAUUGAAACCUGAGCCCCAACCCGGUAACCAACUUGGACCACGAACCAGCCGGGUGAAUAUUUUGUGAACCGGACCCGCCCCUUUUAACACCAAUACAAAUUCAUCUUCCCUCCCAUUAUUUUAGUUCUCUAUAAAUAUCCCGCCAAUUCAAAUUGACGAUCUCUUUCUCUAUCGCUCUUCUCUCUGUUUCGUAUUUCAAAAUCCACAAUCUCCAUAGCUUCUGUAAGUUCAGCUCAAAAUCUGUAAUCUACAUUUAGAAAUUUCCUUUGAUUCAUCAUCAGUAGCUGAGAUGUGUCAAAAAUUUGAGAUCUUAUGCGGAUUGAGAAAAUUACUGUGGAUCUUACGUUCCUGAUGCCAAUAGUGGCAAUGAACAAGCAACAUAAGUGCCGCUAAUGCUAUUAGUGACAGCAAAUUCUUUCUUCUCGCAAGCAUUCUCAGUACCACAUUACCACUUUAAGCUGCUGGAUCCGUUAAAUGCCCAUGGUCCAAUCUCAGACAUCCCGGACAUUGUCACCAUUUGCUCGGGACAUGAAUAUUGACAAGUUAAAACCCGUGAGUAUUCAACUACGUUUUUCUGUUUUAAUUGGUGCAACAAGAUGUGUUAAGUAAAUAAAUACCUGUGCUAUUCAAAUUAUUU